Molecule: ribosomal RNA, 2305 nt
Filed under: Escherichia coli
Lineage: Bacteria; Pseudomonadati; Pseudomonadota; Gammaproteobacteria; Enterobacterales; Enterobacteriaceae
Description: bacterial LSU rRNA
Rfam family: Bacterial large subunit ribosomal RNA
Source: RNAcentral
CGAAUAGGGGAGCCGAAGGGAAACCGAGUCUUAACUGGGCGUUAAGUUGCAGGGUAUAGACCCGAAACCCGGUGAUCUAGCCAUGGGCAGGUUGAAGGUUGGGUAACACUAACUGGAGGACCGAACCGACUAAUGUUGAAAAAUUAGCGGAUGACUUGUGGCUGGGGGUGAAAGGCCAAUCAAACCGGGAGAUAGCUGGUUCUCCCCGAAAGCUAUUUAGGUAGCGCCUCGUGAAUUCAUCUCCGGGGGUAGAGCACUGUUUCGGCAAGGGGGUCAUCCCGACUUACCAACCCGAUGCAAACUGCGAAUACCGGAGAAUGUUAUCACGGGAGACACACGGCGGGUGCUAACGUCCGUCGUGAAGAGGGAAACAACCCAGACCGCCAGCUAAGGUCCCAAAGUCAUGGUUAAGUGGGAAACGAUGUGGGAAGGCCCAGACAGCCAGGAUGUUGGCUUAGAAGCAGCCAUCAUUUAAAGAAAGCGUAAUAGCUCACUGGUCGAGUCGGCCUGCGCGGAAGAUGUAACGGGGCUAAACCAUGCACCGAAGCUGCGGCAGCGACACUAUGUGUUGUUGGGUAGGGGAGCGUUCUGUAAGCCUGUGAAGGUGUACUGUGAGGUAUGCUGGAGGUAUCAGAAGUGCGAAUGCUGACAUAAGUAACGAUAAAGCGGGUGAAAAGCCCGCUCGCCGGAAGACCAAGGGUUCCUGUCCAACGUUAAUCGGGGCAGGGUGAGUCGACCCCUAAGGCGAGGCCGAAAGGCGUAGUCGAUGGGAAACAGGUUAAUAUUCCUGUACUUGGUGUUACUGCGAAGGGGGGACGGAGAAGGCUAUGUUGGCCGGGCGACGGUUGUCCCGGUUUAAGCGUGUAGGCUGGUUUUCCAGGCAAAUCCGGAAAAUCAAGGCUGAGGCGUGAUGACGAGGCACUACGGUGCUGAAGCAACAAAUGCCCUGCUUCCAGGAAAAGCCUCUAAGCAUCAGGUAACAUCAAAUCGUACCCCAAACCGACACAGGUGGUCAGGUAGAGAAUACCAAGGCGCUUGAGAGAACUCGGGUGAAGGAACUAGGCAAAAUGGUGCCGUAACUUCGGGAGAAGGCACGCUGAUAUGUAGGUGAAGCGACUUGCUCGUGGAGCUGAAAUCAGUCGAAGAUACCAGCUGGCUGCAACUGUUUAUUAAAAACACAGCACUGUGCAAACACGAAAGUGGACGUAUACGGUGUGACGCCUGCCCGGUGCCGGAAGGUUAAUUGAUGGGGUUAGCGCAAGCGAAGCUCUUGAUCGAAGCCCCGGUAAACGGCGGCCGUAACUAUAACGGUCCUAAGGUAGCGAAAUUCCUUGUCGGGUAAGUUCCGACCUGCACGAAUGGCGUAAUGAUGGCCAGGCUGUCUCCACCCGAGACUCAGUGAAAUUGAACUCGCUGUGAAGAUGCAGUGUACCCGCGGCAAGACGGAAAGACCCCGUGAACCUUUACUAUAGCUUGACACUGAACAUUGAGCCUUGAUGUGUAGGAUAGGUGGGAGGCUUUGAAGUGUGGACGCCAGUCUGCAUGGAGCCGACCUUGAAAUACCACCCUUUAAUGUUUGAUGUUCUAACGUUGACCCGUAAUCCGGGUUGCGGACAGUGUCUGGUGGGUAGUUUGACUGGGGCGGUCUCCUCCUAAAGAGUAACGGAGGAGCACGAAGGUUGGCUAAUCCUGGUCGGACAUCAGGAGGUUAGUGCAAUGGCAUAAGCCAGCUUGACUGCGAGCGUGACGGCGCGAGCAGGUGCGAAAGCAGGUCAUAGUGAUCCGGUGGUUCUGAAUGGAAGGGCCAUCGCUCAACGGAUAAAAGGUACUCCGGGGAUAACAGGCUGAUACCGCCCAAGAGUUCAUAUCGACGGCGGUGUUUGGCACCUCGAUGUCGGCUCAUCACAUCCUGGGGCUGAAGUAGGUCCCAAGGGUAUGGCUGUUCGCCAUUUAAAGUGGUACGCGAGCUGGGUUUAGAACGUCGUGAGACAGUUCGGUCCCUAUCUGCCGUGGGCGCUGGAGAACUGAGGGGGGCUGCUCCUAGUACGAGAGGACCGGAGUGGACGCAUCACUGGUGUUCGGGUUGUCAUGCCAAUGGCACUGCCCGGUAGCUAAAUGCGGAAGAGAUAAGUGCUGAAAGCAUCUAAGCACGAAACUUGCCCCGAGAUGAGUUCUCCCUGACCCUUUAAGGGUCCUGAAGGAACGUUGAAGACGACGACGUUGAUAGGCCGGGUGUGUAAGCGCAGCGAUGCGUUGAGCUAACCGGUACUAAUGAACCGUGAGGCUUAACCUUACAACGCCGAAG